CACACGGCACAGCAGCAAGAUGAGGAAUGGGAGAAACAAGGAUUCCAGCUGAAGGAAAAUGGAAGUCCAAAACCUCUCUCUGUAAAAGAACUGACAAGACAAAAAAAUAUAAUUUGAAGAAAUCAUCGGCAUGGGAAUACUUCCACAGCUUGUACUCUAUCUGUUCUACAGAGAAAGUUUCUUCCAUUCAGCUCCUGUUGUUCCUGUUGGAGGUGUAGUUGUCAUCUACUGGAGUGGGUUUAUGUGUUAUUUUCAGUCAUUCUGAUUGGAGAAUGAAGUUUGGUUGUACACUUAAAAUCUGGUCCAGUUGGGCACCUUCACUCAUUGGCUCCCUCACCAGCUGUGUCAGGAACUUCCUGGACUAACUCCUCUCCACUGUUUUGUAUUCUAGCAGACAACUGGUAAGUUGAAGUCCACCACAAGAACAAGGGCUAGUGACUGUAAUUUCAGGAAUGUGAAUCCCUCUUCAAUUAACAGAAAGUAGUAAGUACCGAAGAAAUGAGAUUCAGCUCUCAAUAGUUUCCCAAACUAUUACCUCUGUAUGAAUAGACUUCAGGACAAGUAAUACUGGUGACCCCUAUUCCCACUGGAUAAUUGCUUUUAUUAUACAUUGCCUGUUUCUGUUCUUGUCUUUUAGUGCUGAUGGAUGUGAUUUUGUUUUACACUAUAUAGGUGUUUAGUGAAAUUGCUGCAAGACAGUUUAUUGCUGAGUUUAAAAAAUUGUGUCAACUCUUGAAUCUCAAUGAGUGUCUUAUCCUGCCUUUUUAAUUUUUAUUUUUCCCAGUACAUUAAAUAUUUUUCACUGUGACUAGGGAAAAUUAGAAAGUGCAAAAUCCUUUUUGCAUGUAGCUUAAAACACAAACAUAUAAAAUUCUACCAUAAUAAAUUGACAUACUAUAUCUGUAUCUGAUAAAUUAGGCUACAUGAUGGCAGGUAAAAUGAUGUGUAGAGUAUUGCAUGUGGAAAGGGCAAACUGAAGAUGUGUGGAACUUCUGUGUGGAGAAGACCAGUCAACAAGAGAAAUGGAUGUCAGCGAGGAGAAAUCAAUUAAAUGUCUGCUUUAUGCAAAAUAUCAAUACAGACAGGAUAUUCAACUGCAUUAAGAAAAGUAUCUACAGAUACAUUUACAAAUAGAAAACAGAAUUGAAAAAUAGCAGGUGACUAGUGAAGGGAAAACAAAUAGCAUGGAAAAACCCUGAACUAAAAAGAAAUGUAAACAUGGGAUUAAGCAGAGCAGGAGAUAUUAGAAUAGAGUUAUAUAAAAUAAUGAAUG
Long non-coding RNA from Colius striatus (speckled mousebird), 1273 nucleotides. RefSeq lists it as uncharacterized. NCBI's taxonomy places the organism in Eukaryota, Metazoa, Chordata, Aves, Coliiformes, Coliidae. The record is from RefSeq and is a predicted model, not a curated record. The transcript is spliced from 4 exons.